AACGAUGUCAACUAGUUGUCGGGUCUUAACGGGCUUGGUAACGUAGCUAACGCGUGAAGUUGACCGCCUGGGGAGUACGAUCGCAAGAUUAAAACUCAAAGGAAUUGACGGGGACCCGCACAAGCGGUGGAUUAUGUGGAUUAAUUCGAUGCAACGCGAAAAACCUUACCUACCCUUGACAUGUAUUGAAACCCGCAGAGAUGUGGGUGUGCCCGAAAGGGAACGAUAACACAGGUGCUGCAUGGCUGUCGUCAGCUCGUGUCGUGAGAUGUUGGGUUAAGUCCCGCAACGAGCGCAACCCUUGUCAUUAGUUGCCAUCAUUUAGUUGGGCACUUUAAUGAGACUGCCGGUGACAAACCGGAGGAAGGUGGGGACGACGUCAAGUCCUCAUGGCCCUUAUGGGUAGGGCUUCACACGUAAUACAAUGGCGCGUACAGAGGGUUGCCAACCCGCAAGGGGGAGCUAAUCUCAGAAAGCGCGUCGUAGUCCGGAUCGGAGUCUGCAACUCGACUCCGUGAAGUCGGAAUCGCUAGUAAUCGCGGAUCAGCAUGUCGCGGUGAAUACGUUCCCGGGUCUUGUACACACCGCCCGUCACACCAUGGGAGUGGGUUCCACCAGAAGCAGGUAGUCUAACCGCAAGGAGGGCGCUUGCCACGGUGAGAUUCAUGACUGGGGUGAAGUCGUAACAAGGUAGCCGUA
Molecule: ribosomal RNA, 699 nt
Filed under: uncultured bacterium
Lineage: Bacteria
Description: bacterial SSU rRNA
Rfam family: Bacterial small subunit ribosomal RNA
Source: RNAcentral